This 450-nucleotide ribosomal RNA is filed under the name uncultured bacterium. RNAcentral's name for it is "bacterial SSU rRNA". It matches the Rfam family "Bacterial small subunit ribosomal RNA", at positions 354 to 796 of the family's 1533-position model. The record is from RNAcentral.
GUGGGGAAUAUUGCGCAAUGGGGGAAACCCUGACGCAGCGACACCGCGUGAGUGAUGAAGGCCUUCGGGUUGUAAAGCUCUGUCGACUGGGAAAAAAACUUUCAUGCUAACACCAUGAGAGGAUGAUGGUACCAGUAAAGGAAGCACCGGCUAACUCUGUGCCAGCAGCCGCGGUAAUACAGAGGGUGCAAGCGUUGUUCGGAGUUACUGGGCGUAAAGGGCGCGUAGGCGGCUAUUCAAGUCAGAUGUGAAAUCCCCGGGCUUAACCCGGGACGUGCAUUUGAAACUGUAUAGCUAGAGUGCAGUAGAGGUUGGUGGAAUUCCUAGUGUAGAGGUGAAAUUCGUAGAGAUUAGGAGGAACACCGGUGGCGAAGGCGGCCAACUGGGCUGCAACUGACGCUGAGGCGCGAAAGCGUGGGUAGCAAACAGGAUUAGAUACCCGAGUAGUCC